UCCAAAGCAAACUGCCUGAUUAGUGAAACAAUUUGUUUUUUACAAUGACAGCAAAUAGGUAAAUCUUGUGAGCGUCAGGAAAUCCUGGAGGAAUUUGAAUGGGAGUACUGACUGGUUUGCAAGUUGCACUUUGAUUAGAAGGCAUUGCUGCCUCUGGUUUUCAUGCUCAUGUAGCAGGGACAUAAACAAGAGGGACUCAAUUUGCUAGGGGCAUUUAUUUCUCUGUCUCUUCCUCUCUCUCUCUCUCUUGUUUUUACAAUCUAUGUGUAAUGACUAAUUGGCUGUGUUUUCCCAGCUAUUUUAUGUUUCUCUUGCCCUGGUUACAACGCGUACUAAAGCAGUAUAUCCACAGGGACCUAUAGACAGGCAACACUGCCAAAUGAUACGCAGCAUUCCCCUUUCUCUCUAAGUGUAAAACAUUUACAAGUAAAUUUACAAAUGCAUUAAGAACAUUUCCUCAGUUGACUGUUAGUGUUUAUUUCUUCCCCUUCUCCUCGCGGGAGCAGACACCUUCCAGCCCCUCAACUUUCGCACACUGCUCUCCCGUUAUUUGCCUCCUUCCCUCCCUGUCGCCCCUUUCCCUGCUCUCCCUCUCCCUCCUCCUCCUCCUCCUUUUCCAGUUCAGCGGCGCAAAUUUCUGUUUGUGCCAGUGGGGCGGCCUGGCGAGACCGCAAUUGCUCUACCCCACAGAUUGACGAGCCCUCAGAUGCCGAUUUACUGUACAUGGCAGCCACGCUGGAGCCGCGGCACAUCUGGAGUGGAGUAAGCUUACUCAGAAACAGGGGCCAGCUCCAGCCGGAGCCAGCGGAGCCGAGCGCGGCGCUGAAAGGCAGCCCUCCUGCCUCCCCUUCCCUCCUCCCCGGAUCCCAGUAGGAAAGGGCCAAAAUUCCCCAUGAAACAUCUUGCCCAGGUCUCAGCCUUCUCACCAGGGGAAGCAGUGAGCAUUACCUCCUUAUGGCUGCUUAGAAACCGCUCAAGGUGAAGCUCCGUAAGGAGGGGAUUCUGCGUUGGAGAGGUGUUGGUCAGCAUGGACAGACUGAAUUGCACAUCUCCAAGAUCCAGAAUGACCUUUCUGAAGUCAGGAGCAGCAUCACGGGUCCUGGGAGAAAUGCAGGGAUGGCACACCAUUUUGCAUAAACUAGGCGACUACUGAGAUGGAUAAAAUGGUUUCUUUGCUGUGAAAUGAUUUAUUUGGAAAAAACUCCACAUGUCUACACGGAAAGGCUGAUGGAACCAGUCUCAAAAGGAAAGCUGUUUGGCAAACUUCAAGAGAGAUCUUGGCAGUUGACUGAAAUCUAAAGUUUUUAAGGGACAGUUGGAUUUUAGCUGAGUUCUUCUAGAAGCCUGCAGGGCUCUGGCUGGCAGACCAUUGCUCAACCUUUUGACUGCCUGGGUGGAGGACUGAUGGCCUAUCAUUGCAGGAUGGCCCACCAAGUAGUCUACCUUUGAUCUAAAGACCUCGGGCCUUCCAGGUUUCAAAACUGGGACAACACUUGUUUUGAAACAUUUUAGAUGUGUUUUGGUAUUCAUUGGAAAUAUUUUUAUGAAUUACCAAAUCCUGACCCCAAAAAGUGUUCCAUAGGAGUUUUUUUAACAACUCUAUUCUAGUCUAAGUUUAAUCACCCUGAGGAGAAAAAAAAGUGUCUCCGUAAAGGAAAAAUAAAACAGAAUCCAGUGAAUUAGUCUGAAGCA
Molecule: long non-coding RNA, 1692 nt
Filed under: Junco hyemalis (dark-eyed junco)
Lineage: Eukaryota; Metazoa; Chordata; Aves; Passeriformes; Passerellidae
Description: lncRNA (ENSJHYG00000011803.1)
Source: RNAcentral